GCCAAAACCUCKGCAAAAUCUUCAAAGUUUCUGCUUCGUGGGAUUUUUGUGAUGAAUGCAAACAAACAGAGGAGUCCUCUGAGAAGAUGGGGAAGAAGAGGAGUCCUCCGCUAAGCCUUUCGAUUGGUGAGAUUUUUCUGGGAUCAAACGAGAAAAACAGAGGGCGGAAUCUUCGAAUGGGGCUUCCCUUCAUCUUCAUUCAAAUCGACCUCUCUUGGUUAUCUCAUCUUGCUGCUCACCUCAUGGUAAUAGUUCUUUCGUUUCUUCCUAAAAAUUUCUUCAAGUGACCAGGAGGGCUCCCUUUGUCUAUUAGGGUGAAAGGUUGAGGAGAAAGGAUUAACUAUUGAAACAACAGAAAGAAUUGACACUUUUGUAAAGAAAAGGGGAUUGCCAUUGGAAACAUUGUCUGAAUUGAAACAAGAUGGCAGCGAGUUUCAAAACAACAGUGGAUCUGUUCUAGCAUUGAAUGAGUUAGAGAUUCUAUUUAAAGCUCUAGAAAAAUCGAAUAGUGUAUAGAAAAAGUGGUUUUUGACUUGAGUCUUGGAAGAGGUCUUCAUUAUUACACUGGAGUUAUUUUUGAAGCUGUGUUCAAAGGUGCUAUGUAGAAGCUGUGGAGCUCUUUUCACAGAUGGAAAGAAGUGGAAUGGAACCUGAUGCAAUUACUAUUGCUAGUGUUCUUCUCGCAUGUGGGGAUCUCUAUGUGUUAGACAGUCAAGUACCUCCCCUGCAAUGAUCAGUAUCAUUAGAUGAGCAAUUUCCCAUCAAUGAGUUCUGGGCCCAUUUCCAGCAGUUCUUCUAAGUGGAUUAUUAUAGAAGACUUUGCAGCUUUGGUGUCACCCGGGACCAUGAAAGAUAGGAUCAGGCUUCUAGCUAGACUUAAUUAUUGUACCUGUAACCAAAACCAGGUUAGAUUCAUUUGCAAUUGCUGAUGGUUCUUGUCCAGAUAGAAUUCUAAGUGAUUGAACUUCAAUUACAACUGCUUUAUGCUCCUUGGGCUUAGUUUGGAAGGAGUACAAAACCUUGUAUUUUGUAUUAUUUUAUAUGUAUUUGCAUUGUACAUAUUUGUAUUUGUAUUCUUUCCAAACCGAGCCUUGAGAUUUGUUUUCAUGCUUGUCUGUAACAAAAAAGGUAAAAGGAAUCCAAAUCCCCAUGAGCACUUGCUGUGUCAGCUAACUUCAUUUUCUUGUGUUGUUUUUGGUUGUUUUGUUCACAUGUUUGCCAUGUAUACUAAUAGAGUUUUGCUAUUGGAGUUUCUCAUAGAUAGAGUUCCAGUUGACAUGAAAAGGCCUCCUAGAGAAGAUGUUCUGGUAUCUUGGGUAUGUUCUUAGCUGUUUGUAUUACCUGCAUUCGUAGUUAGGUUCUCUACUCAGUUUUCUUUCGUGUUUUAAUCAUACUAUUUUAAACCAGGAAUCUAGUAGCAUUCUCAUUUAUUUAGAACAGAAGCAUUCCAUUCAAACAUGCCAAAUGCUAGUGUAGUUUGCAGCCUAAUUGGCCUUGAUGCUAGACAUGUAUAAAGUGUCAAUUCUCGUGUGGGUCAAGACAAUUCUCGAAUGCCUUGUUGCUUAUAUUUAUUACUAUAUUAUAUAUUAUAAUGUGCUCUCUUUCAUUGGUCGCCUAAUUAUUUAUAUUGCAAUUUUAGGUAUUAUCAGUUUCAGAUAUUAACUCAACUCUUUGUCUGCUCUUUGAAGGCUUCCAGGGACUUAAUGAUAUGGGUUUUAUCUCUUUAUUGUAGGAUUUAUUGUGGUUAUCAUCUCAAUGAUUUUGAAAUAUCUUCAAGCCUGUGAAGGCCAGACAAUGGUGGAUAGAGAAAUAGAUGAAGUAAUAGAGAAUGAGACCAGUCCAUUAUUGCUAGAGAAGAGAACUCAAUUUUCUUAUGUGACAGGUGAAGAAGAAGUAGCAGAGAAAGUAAUGCAUGAGUGCUAAAAGAAAGCACAGACAAGUAACUUAGUGCAAAUAAAUAUACUGUAGUAGUUGUGUAAAAACUUAGUAGAAAGAUAUUCUCUAAAGACGUAAGAUGUCUAACUUAUUCAAAAAAUUAAGGGAAGAUAGAGAUUACCUAUGCAGUGGCUGGAAGAAGCUUUUCAGAAGAGUCCCUUACAACAGCAGAGCUACCCGUAGCAAAUAUACAUGGAUGGUUUUUGACAUGGAGAGUUUCAUAUGUAUCUCCUUGGGUGCUACCAUUAAUAGGAAAUUCUAGUGGCCUUUUGAAAACAUAGAAUAGUUACUAGAUGGUUUCAAAUGAUUGUCCUGAAUGGCUGAACCUUGUUGCCUUUUGAAAACUAUUUAUCACUGCUCUAAUUUAAAUUUAAAUGAAUGAUCUUGAGGAUAAAAUUAAAAAGGAAUUACCUUUAAUUUUCUUUCUUUUUUUAUUUCUUCCCUCUUGAAAUUCUUAUUGACAGUACUAUACAAACAUCUUAGGUUUGCUCUAUUUAUUGACAUAUGUUGUGUCUAAUUUACUAAGUGAAUUAAACUUGCAAGUUAUGCUCUUGCAAAGAAUGACUUCCUUUUUGAAAAGGUAUUUGGUUACCUUAGGUUGGUUUGUUUUGCUUUCUAUAUCAGUGUUUUGGAUCCUCUUAAACCCUAUUUUCAUUUAUCAAAAAUAAAUCUUUGAUUUCUACUUUCAAGUACUAUAUAGAUUCAUAGUCAUAGAUGGAAAAUUGAAAUUCUGAUUGGAUGAUCCCUAGGUUCAUUGUUUAGCAUCAUCAAAACUUCAUUUUUGGUAAGCAAUGAUCACAUAUCUGACUGUAACGUAGAACUAAUCGCCUCUCUUUUACCUAUUUUUACACUCUCCUACUUUCAUCUUAAAAUAUGUGGAAAUAAUCUGAUGCUGAGAAUUGGUAUAAAGGCAUUCUUAUCCAACACUCAAGAGGAAAAUCUGCUUUGAUUUUUUGCUCCACCGAAAAAAGGAGCACAAGAAGCUGCACUCAGUCUCUCUCAGUAGUCAUUAAAUCAACACAAUACUUCAACAAGAAGAAAGGCCUUUGUGUAAAAUAUGAUAGGUCCUUGAUACUACAGGUAUGAUCUUCAGAAUUAGUUAAAAUAGAUUUCCUUCCUUGCAUUAGGAAUAUAA
Nelumbo nucifera (sacred lotus) is the source of this 3070-nucleotide non-coding RNA. Lineage: Eukaryota; Viridiplantae; Streptophyta; Magnoliopsida; Proteales; Nelumbonaceae. The record is from RefSeq and is a predicted model, not a curated record.